GAUGAACGCUAGCGGCAGGCCUAAUACAUGCAAGUCGAGCGCUCCCAGCAAUGGGGGAGCGGCGGACGGGUGAGUAACGCGUAGGAACGUAUCCUGAGGUGGGGGAUAACCCUGGGAAACUAGGGCUAAUACCGCAUGAUGGCGAGAGCCCAAAGAUUUAUCGCCUUGGGAGCGGCCUGCGUCUGAUUAGCUUGUUGGUGGGGUAACGGCCUACCAAGGCGAUGAUCAGUAGCUGGUCUGAGAGGAUGAUCAGCCACACUGGGACUGAGACACGGCCCAGACUCCUACGGGAGGCAGCAGUGGGGAAUAUUGGACAAUGGGCGAAAGCCUGAUCCAGCAAUGCCGCGUGAGUGAAGAAGGCCUUAGGGUUGUAAAGCUCUUUUAGUAAGGAAAAUAAUGAUGGUACUUACAGAAAAAGACACCGGCUAACUCCGUG
This 436-nucleotide ribosomal RNA is filed under the name uncultured bacterium. Its description in RNAcentral is "bacterial SSU rRNA". It matches the Rfam family "Bacterial small subunit ribosomal RNA", at positions 28 to 507 of the family's 1533-position model. The record is from RNAcentral.